UACAGGGGGGGCAAGCGUUGUUCGGAAUUACUGGGCGUAAAGGGCGUGUAGGCGGUCAGGUAAGUGAGAUGUGAAAUGCCCCGGCUCACCCGGGGACCGGCAUCUCAUACUGCUUGGCUUGAGUACGGGAGAGGAUGUGGGAAUUCCUGGUGUAGCGGUGAAAUGCGUAGAUAUCAGGAGGAACACCGGUGGCGAAGGCGCACAUCUGGCCCGAUACUGACGCUGAGGCGCGAAAGCUAGGGGAGCAAACGGG
RNAcentral lists this ribosomal RNA (253 nucleotides) under uncultured bacterium. RNAcentral describes it as "partial 16S ribosomal RNA". It matches the Rfam family "Bacterial small subunit ribosomal RNA", at positions 524 to 776 of the family's 1533-position model. The record is from RNAcentral.